RNAcentral lists this ribosomal RNA (465 nucleotides) under uncultured bacterium. Its description in RNAcentral is "partial 16S ribosomal RNA". It matches the Rfam family "Bacterial small subunit ribosomal RNA", at positions 28 to 507 of the family's 1533-position model. The record is from RNAcentral.
GACGAACGCUGGCGGCGUGCUUAACACAUGCAAGUCGAACGGAAAGGCCCUGCUUGCAGGGUACUUGAGUGGCGAACGGGUGAGUAACACGUGGGUGAUCUGCCCUGCACUUCGGGAUAAGCCUGGGAAACUGGGUCUAAUACCGGAUAGGAGCCAUUUUUAGUGUGAUGGUUGGAAAGUUUUUUCGGUGUAGGAUGAGCUCGCGGCCUAUCAGCUUGUUGGUGGGGUAAUGGCCUACCAAGGCGGCGACGGGUAGCCGGCCUGAGAGGGUGGACGGCCACAUUGGGACUGAGAUACGGCCCAGACUCCUACGGGAGGCAGCAGUGGGGAAUAUUGCACAAUGGGCGCAAGCCUGAUGCAGCGACGCCGCGGGGGGGAUGACGGCCUUAGGGUUGUAAACUCCUUUCGCUAGGGACGAAGCUUUUUGUGACGGUACCUAGAUAAGAAGCACCGGCUAACUACGUG